Molecule: ribosomal RNA, 446 nt
Filed under: uncultured Pseudomonas sp.
Lineage: Bacteria; Pseudomonadati; Pseudomonadota; Gammaproteobacteria; Pseudomonadales; Pseudomonadaceae
Description: bacterial SSU rRNA
Rfam family: Bacterial small subunit ribosomal RNA
Source: RNAcentral
UGUGGUUUAAUUCGAAGCAACGCGAAGAACCUUACCAGGCCUGACAUGCAGAGAACUUUCCAGAGAUGGAUUUGGUGCCUUCGGGGAACUCUGACACAGGUGCUGCAUGGCUGUCGUCAGCUCGUGUCGUGAGAUGUUGGGGUUAAGUCCCGUAACGAGCGCAACCCUUGUCCUUAGUUACCAGCACGUUAUGGUGGGCACUCUAAGGAGACUGCCGGUGACAAACCGGAGGAAGGUGGGGGAUGACGUCAAGUCAUCAUGGCCCUUACGGCCUGGGCUACACACGUGCUACAAUGGUCGGUACAAAGGGUUGCCAAGCCGCGAGGUGGAGCUAAUCCCAUAAAACCGAUCGUAGUCCGGAUCGCAGUCUGCAACUCGACUGCGUGAAGUCGGAAUCGCUAGUAAUCGUGAAUCAGAAUGUCACGGUGAAUACGUUCCCGGGCCUU